UACGGAAUGAACUCAAAUCAUGUAAGAUUUUUAAUGGUCGAACAGACCAACCUUUAGUAACUGCUGCAUUACUGGGAUAACUCAAUUCAACAUCGAGGUGUCAAACUUCAUCUUCAAUACCAUCUUUAGGAUGAAAUUAACCUGUUAUCCCUAAAGUAGCUUUUAUCUAUUUAUUGUCUUUAGAGAAUUUAAAAUAAAGACAGGUCAUUAUAUCCACUUUGUGAUUGUUAAAUCUAUAGAUUAAACAAUAAGUGUAUUUAUUAAUAUUAAUAAAUAAAUUUUAUUUACAUUCUUUUUUUUUAAAAUGCUGUUGCCCCAACAAAACUACCACUCUCAAAGAUGAAAACCCUAAAUUCAAUGGAUGAAGAUAGAGUAGGUUUGAGAAUAUAGUUAAGCUUUAUAGGGUCUUCUCGUCUUACAGUUUUAAAUAGCAUCUUCACUAUUAUUUAAAUUUUUUUUUAGUUUAUAUUUAAGACAGUGGAAACCUCGUGAAGCCAUUCACCUACGUUCGCCAAUUAAACAACUAUUUAUUUUCCUACAUUAUCACCGUCAGAAAUACAGCGGCCGUUAAGUUCAAUUUUAAAGUCUUUGACUUAAUAUUAUAAACCACUGGGCAGGCAUCAUCUCUAAGUUUGAAGUA
RNAcentral lists this ribosomal RNA (640 nucleotides) under Antennella sp. STRI CJM74. Its description in RNAcentral is "partial 16S ribosomal RNA". The record is from RNAcentral. Lineage: Eukaryota; Metazoa; Cnidaria; Hydrozoa; Leptothecata; Halopterididae.